UACGAAGGGGGCUAGCGUUGCUCGGAAUGACUGGGCGUAAAGGGCGCGUAGGCGGCUCAUACAGUCAGAUGUGAAAUUCCUGGGCUUAACCUGGGGGCUGCAUUUGAUACGUGUGGGCUUGAGUGGGGAAGAGGGUCGUGGAAUUCCCAGUGUAGAGGUGAAAUUCGUAGAUAUUCGCAAGAACACCAGUGGCGAAGGCGGCUCACUGGCCCGGUACUGACGCUGAGGUGCGAAAGCGUGGGGAGCAAACAGG
This 253-nucleotide ribosomal RNA is filed under the name uncultured bacterium. Its description in RNAcentral is "partial 16S ribosomal RNA". It matches the Rfam family "Bacterial small subunit ribosomal RNA", at positions 524 to 776 of the family's 1533-position model. The record is from RNAcentral.